Molecule: long non-coding RNA, 562 nt
Filed under: Brassica rapa (field mustard)
Lineage: Eukaryota; Viridiplantae; Streptophyta; Magnoliopsida; Brassicales; Brassicaceae
Description: long non-coding RNA (BRAP_LNC004402)
Source: RNAcentral
CUAGUCAGAGUUUGGUGAAAACAUUAAUCAUAAGGACAAUAUGCAACGAGGAAAACGAUAUACCUGAUCGCCAAUGUCGAUCGGCACAUUGAAGUGUACAUUGAUCGUUUCUGAUGUUGUUCUGUCGAACGAUGUCGACUAGGUCUCAUCGGUCGAUGGCGAAGGAAUCGUUUCUUCCGGUCUCUUUUUGUUUUUUUUUCUGGUUUUUCUCUUUUUUUUUAUAGACUUGCAAUAAAUUGAAUGCAAAAAUAAGUAAGCGCAAACUGGCAUACGUGGUCUCCUCCCGGGGAGCUUUGAUCACCUUAUAGAUUUAAUCUUGUUUAGCUUAGGUUUUCUUCUUAAAAACCACUUUCUGACAUAAAAUUUUUCUUGUCUUUUCAGGUACAUGCCCAACAGUACUAGAAGCAACAAGGAAACUCAAGUGCUAUUCUCAACAGAUCCUGCAAGUUUGGAACGUCCAAUCCGCAAAGGAAGAAUUUCCUCAUCCACCGACACUCGCUCACCACCGUCGACCGAAGACACUCUUCUUCCAUCGACCGACAUCUUACAUCUGACAUCGAUC